Molecule: ribosomal RNA, 738 nt
Filed under: Bacillus sp. CH445
Lineage: Bacteria; Bacillati; Bacillota; Bacilli; Caryophanales; Bacillaceae
Description: bacterial SSU rRNA
Rfam family: Bacterial small subunit ribosomal RNA
Source: RNAcentral
AUACUGCAAGUCGAGCGGACUUAAAAAGCUUGCUUUUGUAAGUUAGCGGCGGACGGGUGAGUAACACGUGGGCAACCUGCCCUUGAGACUGGGAUAACUUCGGGAAACCGGAGCUAAUACCGGAUAAUAUAAGGAACCUCCUGGUUCCUUAUUGAAAGAUGGUUUCGGCUAUCACUUAAGGAUGGGCCCGCGGCGCAUUAGCUAGUUGGUGAGGUAACGGCUCACCAAGGCGACGAUGCGUAGCCGACCUGAGAGGGUGAUCGGCCACACUGGGACUGAGACACGGCCCAGACUCCUACGGGAGGCAGCAGUAGGGAAUCUUCCACAAUGGACGAAAGUCUGAUGGAGCAACGCCGCGUGAGUGAUGAAGGCCUUCGGGUCGUAAAGCUCUGUUGUUAGGGAAGAACAAGUGCGAGAGUAACUGCUCGCACCUUGACGGUACCUAACCAGAAAGCCACGGCUAACUACGUGCCAGCAGCCGCGGUAAUACGUAGGUGGCAAGCGUUAUCCGGAAUUAUUGGGCGUAAAGCGCGCGCAGGUGGUUUCUUAAGUCUGAUGUGAAAGCCCACGGCUCAACCGUGGAGGGUCAUUGGAAACUGGGGAACUUGAGUGCAGAAGAGGAAAGUGGAAUUCCAAGUGUAGCGGUGAAAUGCGUAGAGAUUUGGAGGAACACCAGUGGCGAAAGCGACUUUCUGGUCUGUAACUGACACUGAGGCGCGAAAGCGUGGGGAGCAAACA